RNAcentral lists this ribosomal RNA (584 nucleotides) under Colletotrichum gloeosporioides. RNAcentral's name for it is "eukaryotic LSU rRNA". The stretch from base 203 to 356 matches the Rfam family "5.8S ribosomal RNA". The record is from RNAcentral. Lineage: Eukaryota; Fungi; Ascomycota; Sordariomycetes; Glomerellales; Glomerellaceae.
UCCGUAGGUGAACCUGCGGAGGGAUCAUUACCGAGUUUACGCUCUAUAACCCUUUGUGAACAUACCUAUAACUGUUGCUUCGGCGGGUAGGGUCUCCGCGACCCUCCCGGCCUCCCGCCUCCGGGCUGGUCGGCGCCCGCCGGAGGAUAACCAAACUCUGAUUUAACGACGUUUCUUCUGAGUGGUACAAGCAAAUAAUCAAAACUUUUAACAACGGAUCUCUUGGUUCUGGCAUCGAUGAAGAACGCAGCGAAAUGCGAUAAGUAAUGUGAAUUGCAGAAUUCAGUGAAUCAUCGAAUCUUUGAACGCACAUUGCGCCCGCCAGCAUUCUGGCGGGCAUGCCUGUUCGAGCGUCAUUUCAACCCUCAAGCUCUGCUUGGUGUUGGGGCCCUACAGCUGAUGUAGGCCCUCAAAGGUAGUGGCGGACCCUCCCGGAGCCUCCUUUGCGUAGUAACUUUACGUCUCGCACUGGGAUCCGGAGGGACUCUUGCCGUAAAACCCCCCAAUUUUCCAAAGGUUGACCUCGGAUCAGGUAGGAAUACCCGCUGAACUUAAGCAUAUCAAUAAGCGGAGGAAAUCUCUAG